UUUUCAAUAAAUGACCAAGUCCAUUGGAUGAGGCCAAGACCAAGUCCAUUGUAAAAGUUUGAACUCAAAUGAUCUUAGUCGUUUGUUUUUCUCGAGACGUGAUGCUGAUCUGAUCUCGAGACGUGGUGCUGAUCUGAUCUCGAGAUGUGAUCCGUAAAAGACAGAAAAAAUUGAUAACGGUAAGAUGUUUUAUAAAAAUUAAUCGUUUUUUCCUUGUUGAUGAUACAGAACCGCUUCCACCAACAACACCUGAACUCGACGAGCACACGAGAGAAUUCAUCGGGUUUCCAAGUGAACUAGACGAGCACAGUCUUGAGAAAGCCCCUCAUAGAUGUGAUGUUGAUCUGACCUCGAGAUGUGAUGUUGAUCUGCUCUCAAGAUGUGAUCUGUAAAAGACAAAAAAAAAUGAUAACUGUAAGAUGUUUUAUGAAAAUUAAUCAUUUCUUCCUUGUUGAUGAUACAGAACUCGCUUCCACCAACAAUACCUGAACUCGGCGAACACACAAGAGAGAGAAUUCAUCGGGUCUUCAAGUGAACUUGACGAGUACAGUCUUGAGGAAGCCCCUCAUAGACUAAAGAGCUUAGGGACGACGAGUGUAAGAUUCACGAGUCGACCUCCCUGAGAACAAAUGAAGGGCCCAUUACAAAACUCGUCGAGUGGCUAAACCACAGUCGACGAGUCUGGUAGUGGGAACCCCUAACUGCUCUGUUCGUGUAAUUACAACAUCUACCCCCACGGAAUCCUAUAAAUAAGACUGGGAGACCCUUAUUUCAAGGGUCCACAUACAUUCUAACAAGAGUCGUCAGAGCACUGGAAAAGAACGGGAAUAGAGUUGUAAACUUGAAGUCGUAGACUCCAUUAGAGUCGUCGAGUGCUGUUGAGAUUUCACCUCAACACUUCCUGCCUUGCUGUGUGAAAUUAUUUUUUUAGUUCGAAUUUUGUUUUAUCAAACUUAUAGUUUAAAAAAUCUUUAUCGUGAACAAUUGAGCUAAUCUUAGAAAAACUCGAAUCCUGAACCUUCAGAAACUUUAAUAGUUAUUGUGAUCAAUUGAGCUAAUUUGCCUGUAACAUAUUUAAUUUGUUCGAACAGUGCGAACUAGGUCAAGACCUGAAGGGUAUGGGUCCAUAGCCAUUUUCUUCACUAAUCUUAUGACCAAAUGAUCAUCUCAUAUUGAGUAUAUACCAAACAAUCUCUAUUACCAGGAUAUUACAAAUGUUCUCCUCCUUCUACAUUCAACCUAAGGGUAUUUAUACACUUUCCUACUGAACUGCACCUUCUUUCACUGGUCAAGUAGGCCUGCUGAGCCUGGUCAGAGAUGGGCCUGGUCUGAUGGACCAGGGGUAUCAUCACCAAAGUAUUAAAAAAAAUGGUGAUCAAAUCAACAUCACUAGAUUUCUUGAGCGAAACAACCUAAUUAAUUAAAAUCAAAUCAAAAUCUUUUUUUUUUACUUGUUUAUUAUAAAACGUUUUAUUGAUGGUUAUUGUUUGAGAAAUUAAACAAUCAUCUUGUCAUUAAAUAUAAAAAUUAUUAGAAAAAAUAAUACAAAGAUCACCAUUUAUAUUUUAUAAUCUUCAUUUUAUUUUUUAUAUGCAUUAAUUAUUGAAUGAAUUUUCAAUUUUAAUGUGUAAUUAAAGAAAAAUCAAUCACCAAUUUAAUUUUUUUCUUUCUUUCUUCCAAUUUUAAGUUAAUCCCCUCACCUGCUACCUGUGGUUUGGUUUAGAUUUUAAAGGUUGAUUUCCCUGUCAUCAUCUCUAAUUUUCAGUGAGAGCACUCCUGUUUAGAUUUUAAAGAUUGAUUUCCCUGUCAUC
This 1811-nucleotide long non-coding RNA is filed under the name Zostera marina. RNAcentral's name for it is "long non-coding RNA (ZMAR_LNC000933)". Lineage: Eukaryota; Viridiplantae; Streptophyta; Magnoliopsida; Alismatales; Zosteraceae. The record is from RNAcentral.